GGAAUUUUCCACAAUGGACGAAAGUCUGAUGGAGCAACGCCGCGUGCAGGAUGAAUGCCUUCGGGUUGUAAACUGCUUUUAUAUGUGACGAAUAUGACGGUAGCAUAUGAAUAGGGAACGGCUAACUCCGUGCCAGCAGCCGCGGUCAUACGGAGGAUCCAAGCGUUAUCCGGAAUUACUGGGCGUAAAGAGUUGCGUAGGUGGCAUAGUAAGUAGAUAGUGAAAGCGUGGGGCUCAACCUCAUAUCCAUUAUCUAAACUGCUAAGCUAGAGGGCGAGAGAGGUAACUAGAAUUCCUUGUGUAGGAGUGAAAUCCGUAGAUAUAAGGAGGAAUACCGAUGGCGUAGGCAGGUUACUGGCUCGUCCCUGACACUAAGGCACGAAAGCGUGGGGAGCAAA
RNAcentral lists this ribosomal RNA (398 nucleotides) under uncultured bacterium. RNAcentral's name for it is "bacterial SSU rRNA". It matches the Rfam family "Bacterial small subunit ribosomal RNA", at positions 358 to 772 of the family's 1533-position model. The record is from RNAcentral.